CAGUAGCCGCGGGAAUACGUAGGGUGCAAGCGUUAAUCGGAAUUACUGGGCGUAAAGCGUGCGUAGGUGGUUUUUUAAGUCCGCCGUGAAAUCCCCGGGCUCAACCUUGGAAUGGCGGUGGAGACUGCCAAGCUAGAGUGCGGUAGAGGGAGAUGGAAUUUCGAGUGUAGCAGUGAAAUGCGUAGAGAUCGGAAGGAACACCGAUGGCGAAGGCAAUCCGCUGGGCCUACACUGACACUAAGGCACGAAAGCGUGGGGAGCAAACAGGAUUAGAUACCCCAGUAGUCCCUGUCUCUUAUAC
Molecule: ribosomal RNA, 301 nt
Filed under: uncultured bacterium
Lineage: Bacteria
Description: partial 16S ribosomal RNA
Rfam family: Bacterial small subunit ribosomal RNA
Source: RNAcentral